Long non-coding RNA from Oreochromis aureus, 718 nucleotides. The record is from Ensembl. NCBI's taxonomy places the organism in Eukaryota, Metazoa, Chordata, Actinopteri, Cichliformes, Cichlidae.
GCAGCUGACAAAUCUGCAGCAACUGUGUGAUGCUAUCACGUCAAUAUGGACCAAAUUGUCUGAGGAUUGUUUCCAGCACCUUGUUGAAUCUGAGGAUUAAGGCUGCUCUAAAGGAAAAAGCUCAAUCAUUUUAUCUACGGCUGGAAACAUCAGUCUGGCUCUUGUCACAGCAGAUACGACCUAAUAAGUUCAGGUAAGAGCAGCCAGACGCUCAGGUAGAUAUUGAUUUGCAGUUCUAAUAAACAGCUAAAUGUUUGCCUAAAAGUUACUGCUUGGCACGCUGAAAGCUGGAAAUACUCGUAUCCAAUAUUAGAAAUGAAAUUUUUUAAAAGAAUUGAAUGUUUAACCAGGGGCAUGUUCUGUAAGUAAUAAAAAAUGUUUUUCAGGUCCUGCCUGAGGAAUCUGGACGAGCCAGCGAGAGCUCUCGCAAAUGAAACGUGAACUUUUAGCUGACAUUAACAAAGGUGUCACAUAGUUUGCAGAGUCUCGACUGGUUGCUUACGAACCAAAUGUGACAAAGGUUGAGGAAGUCACUGCAGCCGACAGCCUUUAAGCCAAGCCCCACUAAUUGUCUCCAGUAGUAGGUGCUUCAGUUCAGCACCUACUACUGAAACACCGCGUGACAUCAGUCUACUCGUCUAAUUCAAGAAAGCAAUUCAACAUAAAAUAUCAAACCGUUCCCUCAAAGCCUAAAAAGACAUUGGAUUUUGACCAUCAC